UUGAGAUGGAGAAAAGACCGAGAGGGGGAAAGGAAGCGAGGCGACGCGCCGGGCGCAGUGCCACCGCCCGCAGUUUCCCCUUUGGGCUUGGGAGCUCAGGGAAAAUAUCAAGUGAUACGGGCGGGAGCUCAGCUCAGCUCACUGCGCCACUGCCGCGGAUCCACACCCAAUACGAUCAACCAAAGAAAAGAAGCAGCUUGGGGUCCGUCCGUCUCUCCACUCUGCACGGCGGCGGCGGCGGCGAUUCAUGGACGCGGGCGAGCUCUUCAACCCAGACCGCGGCGGGGCGCACGGCGCCGGCUGCGACUGCGGGGACUGCGAGGAGUGGGGGCGCCACUGCUACUGGAACCACGACCACGGCGACGGCGGCACCAAGCAGUUCCUCCUCUUCGCCUCCGACG
Triticum aestivum (bread wheat) is the source of this 401-nucleotide long non-coding RNA. RefSeq lists it as uncharacterized. The transcript is spliced from 2 exons. Lineage: Eukaryota; Viridiplantae; Streptophyta; Magnoliopsida; Poales; Poaceae. The record is from RefSeq and is a predicted model, not a curated record.